AGAGUUUGAUCCUGGCUCAGAACGAACGUUAGCGGCGCGCCUAACACAUGCAAGUCGCGCGAGAAAGGGCUUCGGCCCCGGUAAAGCGGCGCACGGGUGAGUAACACGUAGGUAACCUGCCCCUUGGUGGUGGAUAACCUUCCGAAAGGAGGGCUAAUACAGCAUAUGACCACGUCCUCGCGAGAGGAUGAGGUAAAAGCCGGCCUCUUCAUGAAAGCUGGUGCCAGGGGAUGGGCCUGCGGCCCAUCAGCUAGUUGGUAGGGUAACGGCCUACCAAGGCAAAGACGGGUAGCUGGUCUGAGAGGAUGAUCAGCCACACUGGAACUGAGACACGGUCCAGACUCCUACGGGAGGCAGCAGUGGGGAAUCUUGCGCAAUGGACGAAAGUCUGACGCAGCAACGCCGCGUGCAGGAUGAAGGCCCUUUGGGUUGUAAACUGCUGUAGAAAGGGAAUAAUAGUUUGCCACGGGUGAACUUGAAGGUACCUUUAAAGUAAGCGCCGGCUAACUACGUGCCAGCAGCCGCGGUAAUACGUAGGGCGCAAGCGUUGUCCGGAUUCACUGGGUGUAAAGGGUGCGCAGGCGGAUUGGCAAGUCAGAGGUGAAAUCUCACGGCUCAACCGUGAAACUGCCUUUGAUACUGCUUAUCUUGAGUUCGGGAGAGGUUGAUGGAAUUCCAGGUGUAGCGGUGAAAUGCGUAGAUAUCUGGAAGAACACCAGUGGCGAAGGCGGUCAACUGGCCCGCAACUGACGCUCAUGCACGAAAGCGUGGGGAUCAAACAGGAUUAGAUACCCCGGUAGU
Molecule: ribosomal RNA, 801 nt
Filed under: uncultured bacterium
Lineage: Bacteria
Description: bacterial SSU rRNA
Rfam family: Bacterial small subunit ribosomal RNA
Source: RNAcentral